RNAcentral lists this small nuclear RNA (112 nucleotides) under Neogobius melanostomus (round goby). Lineage: Eukaryota; Metazoa; Chordata; Actinopteri; Gobiiformes; Gobiidae. The record is from RNAcentral.
UGUUAGUUCGCUUAACAACAUAUUACUAAAAUUGGAACGAUUACAGAGAAGAUUUAGGCAUGGCCCGCUGCGCAAGGAUGACACGCAAAUUCGUGAAGCGUUCCUCAUUUUU